CCUACGGGAGGCAGCAGUGAGGAAUAUUGGUCAAUGGACGAGAGUCUGAACCAGCCAAGUAGCGUGAAGGAUGACUGCCCUAUGGGUUGUAAACUUCUUUUAUAUGGGAAUAAAACGUUCCACGUGUGGGAUUUUGUAUGUACCAUAUGAAUAAGGAUCGGCUAACUCCGUGCCAGCAGCCGCGGUAAUACGGAGGAUCCGAGCGUUAUCCGGAUUUAUUGGGUUUAAAGGGAGCGUAGGUGGAUUGUUAAGUCAGUUGUGAAAGUUUGCGGCUCAACCGUAAAAUUGCAGUUGAAACUGGCAGUCUUGAGUACAGUAGAGGUGGGCGGAAUUCGUGGUGUAGCGGUGAAAUGCUUAGAUAUCACGAAGAACUCCGAUUGCGAAGGCAGUUCACUGGACUGCAAGUGACACUGAGGCUCGAAGGUGUGGGUAUCAAACAGGAUUAGAUACCCGGGUAGUC
Molecule: ribosomal RNA, 460 nt
Filed under: uncultured bacterium
Lineage: Bacteria
Description: partial 16S ribosomal RNA
Rfam family: Bacterial small subunit ribosomal RNA
Source: RNAcentral